UUCCUGAUUUUCUUGCAAACUUGAGUUCACUCCAAAGUCUAGAUUUAUCAUCCAACAAACUUGAUGGUCCUAUGCCAGCUGACUUGUGCCAUAAACAAGCAAAGGGCUUACUGUCGCUGAGACUAGAGGGCAACCCAUGUAGCUCAGGAGGCGCCUGUGAGUGUAGCAAGCAUACAAAUAGAACUCAGGUUC
This is a long non-coding RNA of Zingiber officinale, 192 nucleotides long. RefSeq lists it as uncharacterized. NCBI's taxonomy places the organism in Eukaryota, Viridiplantae, Streptophyta, Magnoliopsida, Zingiberales, Zingiberaceae. The transcript has 3 exons. The record is from RefSeq and is a predicted model, not a curated record.